RNAcentral lists this small nuclear RNA (23 nucleotides) under Arabidopsis thaliana (thale cress). RNAcentral describes it as "snRNA_01113". The record is from RNAcentral. Lineage: Eukaryota; Viridiplantae; Streptophyta; Magnoliopsida; Brassicales; Brassicaceae.
AGCCUCUGGUCGAUGGAACAAUG